Molecule: ribosomal RNA, 375 nt
Filed under: uncultured bacterium
Lineage: Bacteria
Description: bacterial SSU rRNA
Rfam family: Bacterial small subunit ribosomal RNA
Source: RNAcentral
AAUGAACGUUGGCGGCGUGGAUUAGGCAUGCAAGUCGCGCGAUAAGAUUCCUUCGGGGAUCCCAAAGCGGCGAAAGGGAGAGUAACGCGUAGUUAUCUGCCCUGAGGACUGGGAUAGCGGCGGGAAACUGCCGGUAAUACCAGAUGAUAUCUCCGGAUCAAAGGUGUGAUUCCGCCUCAGGAUGAGACUGCGUCCUAUUAGCUAGUUGGUGUGGUAACGGCUCACCAAGGCGAAGAUGGGUACCGGGUGUGAGAGCACGACCCGGCUCACUGGGACUGAGACACGGUCCAGACUCCUACGGGAGGCAGCAGUGGGGAAUUUUGGACAAUGGGCGCAAGCCUGAUCCAGCCAUGCCGCGUGAGUGAAGAAGGCCUC